Molecule: ribosomal RNA, 575 nt
Filed under: Trichoderma atroviride
Lineage: Eukaryota; Fungi; Ascomycota; Sordariomycetes; Hypocreales; Hypocreaceae
Description: eukaryotic LSU rRNA
Rfam family: 5.8S ribosomal RNA (bases 190-343)
Source: RNAcentral
GAAUUAUUUAAUAUCUUCCUCCAACCCAAUGUGAACCAUACCAAACUGUUGCCUCGGCGGGGUCACGCCCCGGGUGCGUCGCAGCCCCGGAACCAGGCGCCCGCCGGAGGGACCAACCAAACUCUUUUCUGUAGUCCCCUCGCGGACGUUAUUUCUUACAGCUCUGAGCAAAAAUUCAAAAUGAAUCAAAACUUUCAACAACGGAUCUCUUGGUUCUGGCAUCGAUGAAGAACGCAGCGAAAUGCGAUAAGUAAUGUGAAUUGCAGAAUUCAGUGAAUCAUCGAAUCUUUGAACGCACAUUGCGCCCGCCAGUAUUCUGGCGGGCAUGCCUGUCCGAGCGUCAUUUCAACCCUCGAACCCCUCCGGGGGGUCGGCGUUGGGGACCUCGGGAGCCCCUAAGACGGGAUCCCGGCCCCGAAAUACAGUGGCGGUCUCGCCGCAUCCUCUCCUGCGCAGUAGUUUGCACAACUCGCACCGGGAGCGCGGCGCGUCCACGUCCGUAAAACACCCAACUUUCUGAUAUGUUGAACCUCGGAUCGGGAAGGAAUACCCGCUGAACUUACCCAUAUCAAUAA